AUUGAACGCUGGCGGCAUGCCUUACACAUGCAAGUCGAACGGUAACAGGUCUUCGGAUGCUGACGAGUGGCGAACGGGUGAGUAAUACAUCGGAACAUGCCUAGUAGUGGGGGAUAACUACUCGAAAGAGUGGCUAAUACCGCAUGAGAUCUACGGAUGAAAGCAGGGGAUCGCAAGACCUUGUGCUACUAGAGCGGCCGAUGGCAGAUUAGGUAGUUGGUGGGAUAAAAGCUUACCAAGCCGACGAUCUGUAGCUGGUCUGAGAGGACGAUCAGCCACACUGGGACUGAGACACGGCCCAGACUCCUACGGGAGGCAGCAGUGGGGAAUUUUGGACAAUGGGCGAUAGCCUGAUCCAGCAAUGCCGCGUGCAGGAUGAAGGCCUUCGGGUUGUAAACUGCUUUUGUACGGAACGAAAAGCCCUGGGUUAAUACCCUGGGGUCAUGACGGUACCGUAAGAAUAAGCACCGGCUAACUACGUGCCAGCCGCCGCCGUAA
This 498-nucleotide ribosomal RNA is filed under the name uncultured bacterium. Its description in RNAcentral is "partial 16S ribosomal RNA". It matches the Rfam family "Bacterial small subunit ribosomal RNA", at positions 30 to 523 of the family's 1533-position model. The record is from RNAcentral.